Pipra filicauda (Wire-tailed manakin) is the source of this 6335-nucleotide long non-coding RNA. RefSeq lists it as uncharacterized. The record is from RefSeq and is a predicted model, not a curated record. NCBI's taxonomy places the organism in Eukaryota, Metazoa, Chordata, Aves, Passeriformes, Pipridae. The transcript is spliced from 4 exons.
CACAGGAACAGGUUUCCCAGAGAAGUUGUGGAUUCCCGUCCCUGGAAGUGUUCAAGGCCAGGUUGGACAGGGCUUUGAUCAACCUGGUCUGCUGGAAGGUAUCCCUACCCUUGGAAGGGGCAUUUGAAGUAGAUGAUCUUUAAAGUCCCUUCCAACCCAAACUAUUCUGUGAUUCUUAGUGCUUAUAGGAUUUAAGCAAGAAUCCACUUAAACAGUGAGCUGACACCUUCUUGAAUGACUGUGUGCAAGAACAAAGAGAAACCAAUCCCCCAUUUUUCAAAAGGGUUGGACAUUCCUACUUCUCUUCUGUAGCUUUAAUUGCUCCUAUGGAUGUUUUAAUUCCAUCUUGAGUUUUGCAGUCUCAGUGAGUCUGUUCUGGUUUUUAAACUUGUCAUUUGCAUAGGGGAGUUUAUAGUAUGCUUAUUUUUUAUAUGUUUCUAUGUCUUAUUUCAUAGCUCUGAAUCUGAGUGUAGAGAGACAAGUGCACUCAGCUGAUCUGAAAUGGUCUUCACCUUAGAAAUAUUGUUCUUUUAAACCUUAGUGAUAUAUUUCAUGGUGGGGUACAGCAGAAUUUAAAUUGGUUGCUGCAAAAUCAGCUUAGGUUAUCUGGAUUUAUAUUUUUUAUUGGUGAAAAUAAUUUAGAGCUUGUGAAAGGUGGCAGAUUGACAACCUUGAAGUUAAUCUGAUUGUCCCAUUAUUUCCCAGCAUCUCUCAGCCUUUUAAAGACAUCUGCUCUUUUCUAAUCUCCCAUAACUCAGUUUCUCAGAUGACUGCUAAGUCUUCUGGGACAGUGAAAGCCACUUCUCUGGGUAUCCUUAGAUGAUGUUUAUCAGGCUUGUCUAAUUUGAAGAUGUCUAAUUUAUUUUGUUAGGUGCAACUUACUUCAUUACUCUGUUUCUGCUCUUGUCCCUGAGACCUUUUUUUCAUUGAUAUUAUGUGUAUGAACAGCCUCCUUUUUUUUUAAAGGGCCAGGUCAUCGGUUUAGAUACAUUAAUUACUGUAUAGAGAACACAGGUUCAAAAGAAAUAACAAGUAAUUAAGCUUAAAAUCAUCUGCUGAAUCUUUUUUCUUUAAUGUAUUUAUCAGUGUUUUCUUUGGGCCAUUCAAGAAGGUGCAGAGAAUGAUAUCUUGUUAUCCUGAGAUUCUCUUGUGCAGUUGAAUCUCAUUUUGCACGUAUUUCUUCCUUAUAUCUAUGUAUUCUUUUACACUUACUUUAGGAAACAGGAAAAGUUUACAGUAUUUUUUAUGAGUCCUUUUGUUGCUUAAAAGUCCACAGUGAAGGAUCACUGAUGUGGCUAGGAGGCUGGAGCACAUGGCCUGCAAGAAGAGGUUGGGAGAAAUGGGUUAGUUGAGCCUGGAGAAGAAGUGGUAGGUGACAUCUAAUUGCUCUCUUCCAGUAAAUAACAGGUGGCUUAGAAAAGACAAAGCUACUUUUCAGGGCAAAGUGAUGGGACUCACAGCAAAGGAUACAAAGAUGCAGCAAGGGAUACUCCAGUGGGACAUAAGGAAAAAACUAUUUCCCACAAAAAGAGCUGAGCACUGUGGCCAGUGGCCCAGAGAGAUCUUCAGAACCUGUCUGAGUGAGGCCCUGAGCAAGCUGAUCUAGGCAGGAAGCAGGGUCUGCUUUGAGGAGGGAGUUGGACUAGCUCACCUCCAGAGCAGAUUCAAACCUUGGUCUUUUUCUGAUUCUAGGAUAACUUCCUGGGUGAUGUCAGUGAUGUACAGACAACCACAGACCCCCCAAGAGUCUUUUGCUUAGUACACCUUCACCCACCCUCUGGCUACCCAGACAUGGAAGUACUGCAUUUAGCUAAUACGGAAGCACACGUACAUGUCUGACUCGAGUUAAAUGAGCCUGCAAUGGUCUAACAACACAGUUACUGGAUCCCCUGCUGACUAUGUUCAGCAGAUUAGUAUUGCUAGUGCUUUUCAUUUUCUGUAAUUCUAGUUAGUUCAGUGGAAUCUACCCAAAUGAGGUAGGAAUAACUUCAUUGUUAAUUCAACUGUAUCAUAAAUUAGAGGAUAAAAGAGUUGAAACUGCUGAUGAAGUUGUUAAUGUUAGAUUGCUGUAGCAGAAACAAGCCUCCCUCCACCUUGGCGUUUUGUACCACUAUGCCACACCAUUACUUAAUGAACACUACAGAAGGUACAAGGCUGUUGAAUUGUGUCCUGUGUUUCAAAAUGCUGUAUUCCUGGCUGAAAGCCACUGCAGUACAUGAGUAAUGUGAGGCAUCUACAGAUCUGAGUUGUUCCCAUUUCCAUUAAGUCAUACGUUCAGCUGUAAAUGUUACAUUGUCUCUGGAGGCAGAGGAUGAGUUGUACAUAAUGACUGUGAAUUUCAGAUAGAAAAGGGCAGAUCUGAGCAGUUUUAGAACAUUUUCAUUUCCUAAAAGAAAAAUAACAAAAUUAUAUUAGGGCAGGAUUAUCUGGUUACUGGACAGCACAGGAAAACCCAUGGUCCCUUUACCUUUGGCCAAGAGAUGGCCACCCCCCCAAAUAAGCCCCAGCCCAGUACUGUGCCCAGGCCUGAACUUUGACCAGGGGGGUAUGUUAAGACGGUGCUAAUUGGUAUGUGGCAAAAUCAGGGGGUGCAGGAGAUUCAGUUUCUCUGUUGUCUCAAAAAGGAAGUGACAAUAUGAAUGGAAUGAUACCUGUGAGACACUUGUCCUGGUGGGACUACAGUAUGUUCCAAGGAAGUUGGGAAGUUCCUCUCUAGGGAAGAAAUACUAGGGGAAGGUGUUGAUAGCAGGCAAGUGGUUUGCUUUGUUCUAGAUGGCUUAUGAGACCAUCUCAAAAAGAAAUGUUUUGUGAAGAGAAGUAAUGCGUGCAUGUGCUGAUGGGCUGCCAGUAUGUCCCACAGAAGGUCAUCCCAUCCCAUGGAGAUAUUUCUGAUGCUCUAGAACAUCUUAAAGACAGUCAGAGACAACAUUAAGCCAACUGAACUUUACUUCCCUCUGGUUGGACUUCAGUGUUUAACUGAAUGGCUUCUGGUAUUAGCCAAUCUUUUCUUUCUGAUAAAAAAGUUGUUUGAUGUUUUUUUUAAGCAAAGUCUUUUCAAGCAACACUGGAAAAAAAAGGUGAGAUAAAGAAAAACCUAGGAAAAGUGUGUCAAAUAACAAAAGCAGACAUCACAACUGAUGAACAAUUUAUUUGCUUCCUAUGGAGAAUCCAGUUAUUUUGCUUUUCACGUCCAAAUAGGAUUUGGAUCUACAUCCACUGUUUGAGAAAACUCACGUAAUACCUCACUCAAAACCCUCAAGUAAGAACUAACUCUUUAAUGUUUUCCUAUGACAAAUUGCAACAGAUCAUGGAAGUGACAUGCUUUGUUAAGAACUGAUGUCAUACAAAAGGAUUUGCCAGGUUAAAAUAAUACAAGACCUCUGAUCAUGCUAUUACAGAGACUGCUGUUCCCUUGGAGAAGAAAUAUGAGGGAUAAUGUAAUACAAAUGACGCGAGUGGGCUUGAAGAUCACCAAUGGAAAGACUGGCUCUGGCUCUGGACCUGCUCACUCCCUUAGGCCUGGAAGAUGUGUGCUACCAGCAACAAAUUGCUCUCACAUUAUGGCACAGCAACCGCCUCUGCAGACAAUGUUGAAGACAUGCCAGUUCUGGGCUUGGGAAUGAUGAUGAACUCUUGUGAGGACAGGAAGUACCAGAACAAACUGGUGAACAAAAUAUUGCUCCCUACAGGUGUGCACAUCUCUGAGGCAGUGCUGGUGCCUUCUGGCAUCCUUCAAUGUGACACCUAGUGCUGUGGCAUCCAGAGAAACCUGGAGAAGCCAUCACAUCCUCCAAAUGACACACGGAUCACACUGAAGUUGACAUCAACUCUUACCAAUUUCCACAAGGCCGCUUUCCACUUUCUGAAACAGCUGGGUCCCUAAACACUAAGUUAAAGGUUAUUUUUAUUUGAGUAAAAAGCAUGCUUCUGACUAGUGUUGAUAAAAUGGAUGGAGUUUUGUUUGAGUUUUUCUUUAAUUACUAUUGUCUCUGAAAAGGUGAAACUUCAAGUUAUUUCUCAGGUUCAAUGCAAAAUGUUACCUUGCUCAGGAAGGAGAACUGGCGCGUGAAGGGAAGGCAAGGUAUUUCCUAGGAACUGAAAUUUAAUUGUGUGAUUCUCUUUUAUGGAUGUUUGCCUUACUGAUAAGAGUGACAGAAAAUGAGAGUACAGAAGGAGUGACAUGCACGUGUUCUCUGUCUCAGAUGAAUUCAUUUUCUUGUAGCUGAUCCUCUGAAUUUGCUGCCUUUACCUAGCUUGGUAACAUCUUUGCAGGUUGGUUGAUGUUAACUUUCCUUUCUUUUCCUCUCCCCUUACCCUGCCCUGCUCUCCUCCCUCCAUUUCUACCUCACCACAAGGAAUCUGGUAGAUUUAUCCUUAGGCACCAGCAGAUGACUCAAUUAGAGAAGAUACCUAAAUGCUUAUCUUCCGGAUUGAAAGAACUUAAUUUAUUUGAAAUAUUUGACUACAAAGUAUUACAUUUUGACUAGCUGCUUGAAUCACAGAGGAUAAUCUCUUUAUGUUACUGAUGUUGGCUAAACUUUGCCAGUGUUGCCAUCUACUGAGCAAUGGUAUUCUUGACUUGGCAGAGUCUAUCAGGGAACCAGGGGCAGGACAGGUCUGUGGAGCUGGAGGUAAUGUACAGUGGCAGGCGGGUCUGUUUAAAAAAGGCUGUUUGCCCUUAGUGUGAACCUAACCUCCUUAAGAAGUUAAGGACAUUCCUAAGGAUUCUUUGGAGACAUUUUUUUUUAAUUAGAAACAGGGAGGUCCUAUCCUUUUACUAGUUUCUACUUACGUAGAGAAAAAUCUGGCCAAAUGUUUAAAAAACCUUUGGUGCUUUGCCCAUGUAGUUUAAGCUGGAUAUACCAGCUGUUUACUUUCAUGAAUUAAUGGGUAUCCUUAAGCUUUCACCAUUUGUUUAACAUCAUCAGCAUUAGAGGACAAAGGGAUGUAGGUAUUGAGAAACAAAAUGCUCCUUCAAUUUCUCUAUUACAUUAGAGCUAUUGUUAUAUGUCAUGUGGCAAAAUCUCAGAUCACUUGAAAAAGUGUCCUGAAGAGACAAUCUAUUUAUUGAAAUUAAUUUCAGUGACAGAGAUGAGAUGACCUUGUUAUAAAUCAGGACUGUCUACUCUCAGAUUCAUACAUUAGCUCUCUACUAUUGCCCUGAUCCAGCAGAUCGUAACUUUAAACCACACAAAGGCUGCAGCGUGUUUAUUUAUGGUCAUUAAGCUAAACACACACUUCAAAUACUUCAAUUUACUUGUUAAAGACAACUUUCCACUCUCAUUCCAGGUGGUACAUUGCACAGAACUUACUUAAAAACACAUGAAAUCAAGUACAGCUCUGCAGUUACAGAUGCCUGCUAGCUGAGGAGGGAGAGAAUACACCAACAGUUGUGAGUGCUCUUCCUCCUACCAGCACUUGCACUUUUGUAUUUAAAAGGAGUCUGUACUGGCCCAUGAUGGUGUCACUGACGAGACUCCUUGGGUAUGAUCCACAUGUACUCCAAAUCACUUGGAAAAAAACUGGGAAGGUGGAAAGGCAUAUUUAACUGAAUAGCUGCUCAGGGCAUGUAAAGUAUUGUAGGAGAAAGAGGUAUAAAGAAGAAAUUUUUGGUAGUCUUUCAAAUUUCCAAGUCAAACCUUUAUCGAAAGGUUUUAAUUUUCAAAAGUCAAACCUUUGACUUCUCAUCCAUCCUUGUUUGGCUUUGUUUACUGGCAGAAAAAUAAUGGUCUUCUCUGUCAAAAGAAGAUUUCAAGAGAAAUCAACAGCAUAAACUGGAACUUCUCCUUCAGGAGGCUGCAAUAACUUCUUGUUCUUUUCCUUCCAAAGAACUUGUAAGCUCUUCCAGGAACACAGUCAGCAGUUGUACUGGUGGAGACUGUUUCUGCCUCCUCCUUUGCCACCUUCACCAUGGUGGGUCCUCACCACUCGUACCCCAGUUUGCCUAGUUACAUUUAUGCUUUUCCCAUAAAGAAUUUACCAUGGGUACUCGGGGAAGCAUCCAGCUGUCACUUUCUGAGAGCUGGUGCAUGAAUUGUAGAUAGCUCCAGCUAGCAAUGAAUGGAUCAUGUCACCUGUCAGUGAAAUUCAUGUCAAGAAAUACAUGGACUCUUCAGGUCAUUUCCAAUGGGCAGGGACCUUUACAUUUAUUACUGCCAGUACAGAAAGAAGAGCAGAAAUGGCCUUGAGAUAAAGCUGUUAUUUAUACCCCAAGUCCUGCAGAAGAUGUCUAAGCAGUUGCACUCCAGCUUUUGGAAACCUUAUGGGUGUAAUGGUGGAAAGAAUACCAGAAUAGUCUGUUUCAGCCUUAGUCUUGAUUUGGGUCCAAGUUUAUC